RNAcentral lists this ribosomal RNA (1002 nucleotides) under uncultured bacterium. RNAcentral's name for it is "bacterial SSU rRNA". It matches the Rfam family "Bacterial small subunit ribosomal RNA", at positions 338 to 1336 of the family's 1533-position model. The record is from RNAcentral.
CCUACGGGAGGCAGCAGCCAGGAAUCUUGGGCAAUGGGCGAAAGCCUGACCCAGCAACACCGUGUGGGCGAUGAAGGCCUUCGGGUCGUAAAGCCCUGUUGAUAGGGACGAAGGGCGAAGGGUUAAUAGCCCCUAGUCUGACGGUACCUUUCGAGGAAGCCCCGGCUAACUACGUGCCAGCAGCCGCGGUAAUACGUAGGGGGCGAGCGUUGUCCGGAAUUAUUGGGCGUAAAGAGCGUGUAGGCGGUUCGGUAAGUCUGCCGUGAAAACCUGAGGCUCAACCUCGGACGUGCGGUGGAUACUGCCGGGCUAGAGGACGGUAGAGGCGAGUGGAAUUCCCGGUGUAGCGGUGAAAUGCGCAGAUAUCGGGAGGAACACCAGUAGCGAAGGCGGCUCGCUGGGCCGUUCCUGACGCUGAGACGCGAAAGCUAGGGGAGCGAACAGGAUUAGAUACCCUGGUAGUCCUAGCCGUAAACGAUGGACACUAGGUGUGGGGGGAGUCGAAUCCCUCUGUGCCGCAGUUAACGCGUUAAGUGUCCCGCCUGGGGAGUACGGCCGCAAGGCUAAAACUCAAAAGAAUUGACGGGGGCCCGCACAAGCAGCGGAGCAUGUUCUUUAAUUCGAUGCAACGCGAAGAACCUUACCUGGACUUGACAUGGUGCUGCAAGCGCACGGAAACGUGUGACCUUCGAGGGUGCACCACAGAUGCUGCAUGGCUGUCGUCAGCUCGUGUCGUGAGAUGUUGGGUUAUGUCCCGCAACGAGCGCAACCCCUGUGGCGUGUUGCCAUCAUUAAGUUGGGGACUCACGCCAGACUGCCGGUGACAACCGGAGGAAGGUGGGGAUGACGUCAGUCUCCCGGCUCUCACUCCCCGCUAUAACCUGUUCAUGCUGAUAUCACGGUUGCACGACCGCUCGUGGAGCGAUUCUCAUUAGGUUACCUAAUUCGCAUCCUCUCCGCCUCCUCUUCCUUAACUGUGAUUUUUUCUAUUCUGGAUCUCCU